This 17-nucleotide ribosomal RNA is filed under the name Campylium stellatum. Its description in RNAcentral is "partial 26S ribosomal RNA". The record is from RNAcentral. Lineage: Eukaryota; Viridiplantae; Streptophyta; Bryopsida; Hypnales; Amblystegiaceae. RNAcentral also lists the same sequence under 1 other name.
CAGACCUCUAAUCGGAA